This 304-nucleotide ribosomal RNA is filed under the name Bacillus thuringiensis. RNAcentral's name for it is "partial 23S ribosomal RNA". It matches the Rfam family "Bacterial large subunit ribosomal RNA", at positions 1360 to 1661 of the family's 2925-position model. The record is from RNAcentral. Lineage: Bacteria; Bacillati; Bacillota; Bacilli; Caryophanales; Bacillaceae.
GCAGGCUCGUCCGCCCAGGGUAAGUCGGGACCUAAGGCAAGGCCGAGAGGCGUAGUCGAUGGAUAACAGGUAGAAAUUCCUGUACUGUGUUUAAUCGUUAUGAGCGAUGGAGGGACGCAGGAGGUGAAACACGCAUCGAGCUGGAUCGAUGUUCAAGCAACAAGUGCGGUUAAGAGUCAAAUGCUUCUAACCAGCAACACGAGUUGUGAUGAGUAGCGAAGUAAUAGUAGCGAAGGUGAUGUAAUCACACUGCCAAGAAAAGCUUCUAGCCAGAGAGGACACACCCGUACCGCAAACCGACACA